RNAcentral lists this long non-coding RNA (4377 nucleotides) under Sus scrofa (pig). Its description in RNAcentral is "lncRNA (ENSSSCG00035071193.1)". The record is from RNAcentral. Lineage: Eukaryota; Metazoa; Chordata; Mammalia; Artiodactyla; Suidae.
AUGACCCUCGAAGACUCGAUUAGCCCAGUAGGAGGGCGCCAGCGUCCGCCGCCCAUUCCCCUCCACAGGGAGCCGGGACCGACGGUCUGUUCACACGGUCACAACAUCGGCGGAGCCGGAGCGCGCUGCAGCGCCGCCGCCGCGGGUCUGGCUGUCACCAGCGCCCCCGCCGCCCGCGCCGCACACGCGGAGUGCCUUAUAAGGCAGCGCAGUGACGUAACGCCCAUAGGCUGGGCGCGCUCGGCGCCCCGCUCGCAUUGUUCGGGCGACUCCCGGAGCGCGCACAGCCCGCUCACUGAGACGAGCGACUGCGGCCCCCGCCCGGCCCCGGCGCAGGCGACUCAGCUGAAGACCUGGAAGUUGCAGUCAUAGGACCCAAACCGUUUGUCCUUGCCGUAACUAGAAGUCAGCAGACUGCCCUUUCCCAGGUAUACACUUUUAUUCCAAAGUUUUUGUGGGUAGUCCAGUGCAUCUGCCAGGUUUUACAGAAAAGGAUGAAUUUUGCUAUAGUUUCAAAGUUAGGUAAUUAAUGCCAGUGUCAACCUGCCAGCCUAGAGCUUGUAACUCCUUAUCAGCACCAAACAUUUAAUGAGUGUCUACUCAUCAGUGUGUUAAGUAUAGGUAGGACAACAAGCCUAGCAACUAUGUUCUCUGAACAUUACACCAUGUCACUUAACAUAGCUACACCUACCAUCUUCAUAAACAAGGACUAAGAUCAUCAGCAGCUCUCAUAGAAUGGUUUCAAUCAUUGUCCUGUCCAGCUCUUUUUUAGUGAACUGAUAAAGCAAUGUAGACAAUACAGGUCAGCUGUACAUGGAAAGUAACGUAAACAAUGAAGGACUUUUUUUUUUUUUUUAAUACAACAGAAUGUAGUCAAUCUCCAAGUUUGUUUACUAGUGACACUAAUUGGUAUGGACAAAUAGUGUUAUCUCAGUUCUUAAAUCAAGUUCUGCUCUUCUUGGCUCUGCCAUCCAUUCACUGGGUAAAGCCUCUUAUAGCACUGGCUUGCAUAAACCUAAAAAAAGGAAACAAUGUCAUCCACUAUAACUAUCUCUCAAUACUGGGUGAGGACAAAAUAGCACCAUAACCCCUGAGGACAGAAUAGUGUGAGGGAACUCCAUAGAGCCAAAUACUAUCUAAAAAUACGAGCAACUGAUCAUAUCAUUACAGAGACAAAUCAGCUAAAGAAAAUGGGAAGAAUGUGAGAGGAAAAGUCUACUCUAAACCAGGGGUAAAAUUCACAUAACUAGCCCUUGAACCUGUGAGAGCUCCAAAAGAUCCUACCAAGAGCAGUCUCAAAGAUGAGGUCAGCCCUUCAAGAUGGGUGGCUCUGAUAGAAGCACAUGUGCUAGAUUUAUCAUAUCUCAUGGCCCACUAGUCUUGGAACAAAAGUUUAAAGGUGAAUUAAGUUUUUUUUCUUCUCUUUUCAAAAUUCUUUUUUAAGUGAAUCAAAACAAAAACAAAUCUCUGAGCAGAAGUCAUAAGAGGAAUGUAAAACAUUCAUCAUAUUUGGGCUGACAAGUCUUAGUGACUGCUGCUGUUACAUUUGAAGAAAAGGAAGGAGCUGCCGGACCUAAGAGCUUGGGGAGAGCAUGAGAAAGUUCUUUCUUGCUGAAGACAAAGGGCCUGCAGUGAGAUUCUGUGGAAAUCCCUUAGCCUUGGCUUGUUAAGUCAAUUAAUUGGGAAUGGCGGAGGAGGUGAAUCACUCUGGAGUUUUGAGAAAAAUAAUCCUCUGCUGCUAAUGUGAAGAUUAUCUAUUUUUUUAAAAAAUCAAUUAAUUUAUUAUCAAGAUAAAGACACUUUAUAUUAAAAGAAAUACAUUAUGUUUGAGGUUCCACAUUACCCUUCAGGCAUUCAUACAGCUACUAUAUGGGGCAGGCUGAGAUCUUUCAGAUAAAGAUGAGAACAGCUCUAUUAAGUGAUUGGGGUUCUCCCCUAAAAUUCUGCUGGGCUGAGCAAAGAUGCAAAGAAUCACGGGCAGAGUUAAGAUUCUCUGGCUAGUUUUCCCCCAUCUGGACUUUAUUUAAAUUUGUCUCUAAGUGAAUUCACUUCACUGAAUGGUUCUCCCUCCUCAAAAGUGACAUGAACAAAAGGAAAAAAAAAAACUCUACUUCUCCUUCUUCUGCUAAUAAUAAGGGUAAAUUCUGAGAACUUUAGGUAUCAUUCAGUCUAAGAGAGGAUUAUGGUCCCCUAAGAAAUGGGUCUUCUCACCUCUCAAUCAUCUGAUUGUCAAGUAUGUACCUAGUUCAGACCCAUGUGGAAGAUAGAGAGGUAUUAAAUUCUUUAAGGAGCUUACAGUUAGUCCAAGAGCAGAACUAAUAAAACAAACUAAAAAGUGGUAUAAAAUAAUACAAAGUAUUUGUGUCGCAAAACUGUAAGGGCUGUGGGGACUCAGAAAGAGGGAACCGGAGUUCCCAUUGCGGCUCAGCGGAAAACAAAUCCAACUAGGAACCAUGAGGUUGCAGGUUUGAUCCCUGGCCUCACUCAGUGGGUUAAGGAUCUGGUGUUGCCUUGAGCUGUGGUGGAGGUCGCAGAUGCGGCUGUAGCUCCAAUUUGACCCGUAGCCUGGGAAACUCCAUAUGCCGUGGGUGCAGCCUUAAAAAAAAAAAAAGGAAAGAAAAGAAAGAAAGAAGGGGGAACCAGCCAGGGUAAGACAUAUUAGCGAAUAUUCAGGAAACGAUCUGAACUGAAAAGUAAAUGUAGCAUUCCAAAUAAGGAUGGCAGAUUUAUACCUUAGAAGUCUACUGUGAAAAGGGAAUCUGGGGUAAAAAGAGAAAGCCUUGAUUCAGCAUCAGAACACCCAAAGUCUGAUUUUUAAAUCCACUGUUUGGCUUUCAGAACAAUCUGGACUUCCAGAGUGAUUUCAGUCCUUAAAGGAAGAUUAAAAGUAAUGACAAAGCAGUUAGCACAAUGCCAGGCCCUCAGCAGACACUCAGUAAUGGUACUUGUUACUCUUCUAGAUAUUAUGCCAGUCUGCCCAUAAGAAUGGUGCUUCAUCAUCAUCUAAUGAUAUAGGGUUCUGACAGACUGAGGCACAAGGUGUUACCUCAGGGCCAAAGAGGAGAAGCUUUGUAGGAUGCAGUCCCAAAGAACUCAUGCUCUUUGAACCCAGCCAUAAAGUGAAGUAAAGAAUUAAGCUUACUGGAGAAAAUCCGUAUCUCUAGUGCUUAACCUCAGCUACUCUGAAGAGUGAGGUUAUCCUUUCCCUUGAUUUCCCUGUUAGAUUCUCAUAGAAUCUCCAUUAUGAGAAACCCACAUAAGCUUUCCUAAACAAGUUACCAAGGGGAGCAAAAGGCUUAAAAGCUAGCCUGGAAUUUCCCUGUUUUACCUUGAAAAUCCUACUAUGCCAGAGAGGCGCACAUAUGAAACAAGUAAGUAAGACAAAUCUUACAACAUGGGCUAAAUAGCUUAUAUUAGAUCCUAGCCAUAGACAAUAAAGAUACCCUUUCAGAAACUACUAAAUACUUCUUCCUAGGUACUCAUUUUUUCAGUUUAGUUGUACUUUCAAUUUAGCAUAAAUUGAAAACUUUAGUGUCAGACAUUAAAAAAGAUUUACUUCCAUACUUUUACAGCAGACUUAUAACCUUGAACUACAACACAUAAAGAACUCCCCCCAAAAAAAACAAUCCCGUGAAAUUCCAAUUAAGUAAGGUUCUCAUUAUAGUUAUUCACUACUGAGACUUGACAAGUCAUAAAAAUCUCUUCUGAUUGAAUGGAAUGAAUAUACACUUUUGACAUGUGAAUUUGUACACAGUGCUAUAUAAGAAAGAAGGGAGGGAAAGGACUUUAAAUGUUGGUGGUGCUUUUUAUUUUUUUACUCUGUGUAACCAAGAUUUGAGGAUCAUUAAAGGCUUUGUAAACCUUAAACACAAAAUUGUACUGCUUUCCCCACGUUGCAGCUGAGGUAACAGGGAGAUGAUGCAGGGUCACAGAGUUAAGUCAAUAACAGAUUUUUGGUUCAACAUUCCCUGUCCAUCAAAUAAAUACAUGGCUUUUCUGAAAGUGGCUUUUCUGUUGUUUGAAGUUUUGCUUUUUUGUUUCCAGUUGUGGAUGAGGGAACUUUAAAAGUGAUUAAAAUUUAGGGAUAGUGAAGUCAGUGCUUUUUUUCAACAAUACUUUUUCCAAUUACUGCAAACCUGAAAUACUUCGUCCUCUCCUAAAAUUCAAAUAUUCAAAAGUAAGCAUUAUGUCAUUGCUCUCACCUCUAGCAGGCCUGUUAUAAACUAUUGUAACAACUUGAUAGAACUGCCCCUUACUACACAAGCUUAAUAUUCUCUAGAACAUACUCAUCUUAAAAGAACCCAACUCAGAGAAAAAUAGGAUUAAACUCUGUGUUCAUGCUUUCUGUCUUCUCAAUGCUUAGAAGAGGCAGAAAAG